RNAcentral lists this ribosomal RNA (574 nucleotides) under Aspergillus allahabadii. RNAcentral's name for it is "eukaryotic LSU rRNA". It matches the Rfam family "Eukaryotic large subunit ribosomal RNA", at positions 58 to 648 of the family's 3401-position model. The record is from RNAcentral. Lineage: Eukaryota; Fungi; Ascomycota; Eurotiomycetes; Eurotiales; Aspergillaceae.
AAAGAAACCAACCGGGAUUGCCUCAGUAACGGCGAGUGAAGCGGCAAGAGCUCAAAUUUGAAAGCUGGCUCCUUCGGGGUCCGCAUUGUAAUUUGCAGAGGAUGCUUCGGGUGCAGCCCCCGUCUAAGUGCCCUGGAACGGGCCGUCAUAGAGGGUGAGAAUCCCGUAUGGGGCGGGGUGUCUGCGUCCGUGUGAAGCUCCUUCGACGAGUCGAGUUGUUUGGGAAUGCAGCUCUAAAUGGGUGGUAAAUUUCAUCUAAAGCUAAAUACUGGCCGGAGACCGAUAGCGCACAAGUAGAGUGAUCGAAAGAUGAAAAGCACUUUGAAAAGAGAGUUAAACAGCACGUGAAAUUGUUGAAAGGGAAGCGCUUGCAACCAGACUCGCUCGCGGGGUUCAGCCGGGCUUCGGCCCGGUGUACUUCCCCGUGGGCGGGCCAGCGUCGGUUUGGGCGGCCGGUCAAAGGCCUCCGGAAUGUAGCGCCCUUCGGGGCCCUUAUAGCCGGGGGUGCAAUGCGGCCAGCCUGGACCGAGGAACGCGCUUCGGCACGGACGCUGGCAUAAUGGUUGUAAACGAC